This 336-nucleotide unclassified non-coding RNA is filed under the name soil metagenome. Its description in RNAcentral is "partial contains 5.8S ribosomal RNA, internal transcribed spacer 2, and large subunit ribosomal RNA". The stretch from base 1 to 120 matches the Rfam family "5.8S ribosomal RNA", at positions 35 to 154 of the family's 154-position model. The record is from RNAcentral.
GAUGAAGAACGCAGCGAAAUGCGAUAAGUAAUGUGAAUUGCAGAAUUCAGUGAAUCAUCGAAUCUUUGAACGCACAUUGCGCCCGCUAGUAUUCUGGCGGGCAUGCCUGUUCGAGCGUCAUUUCAACCAUCAAGCCCCAGGCUUGUGUUGGGGACCUGCGGCUGCCGCAGGCCCUGAAAACCAGUGGCGGGCUCGCUGUCACACCGGGCGUAGUAGAUUUUAUCUCGCUCAGGGCGUGCUGCGGGUUCCGGCCGUUAAAAAGCCUUUUUUACCCAAGGUUGACCUCGGAUCAGGUAGGAAGACCCGCUGAACUUAAGCAUAUCAAUAAGCGGAGGA